This is a non-coding RNA of Peromyscus maniculatus bairdii (prairie deer mouse), 5894 nucleotides long. Lineage: Eukaryota; Metazoa; Chordata; Mammalia; Rodentia; Cricetidae. The record is from RefSeq and is a predicted model, not a curated record.
CUACAAAACCUGAGGCAGAGUCUGGACUCACUCACGUGACUGUCUCUCCUCUCUCACAGGCUGCUGGCUCCUGCCCAGCUGAGCUCUUAGGAAGCACGUGUCCAAUACUGUCCAGGUCCACUGUUUUGGACUUCUGGUGAAGGUACCUGUUGGUAACAACCCAGAAGGAACAGCCGAGCAAACUGUUCACCUCGUAAUCAAGAAGCAAAGAGAAAAACCAGUAAGGCCCCUAAAUCUCUUCCAGGGUGUGCCUCAGAGACAGAAGGAAACCCCCACUAGGAGACGGAUGGGAACCUCAUCUCCUAAAAGUUCCACAGCCCCCAGGAACACCGCCCUGGUGACCAAUUCUUUAACACGGGGCCUGGAGGACCCUAACUGUGGCAAUGCCUCAGUCUCAAUGGGAGGAGUCAAGGGAAAGAACUCCAGAAUGACUUAUCCCCAAGGGGCACAAGAAGAAGAACGAGUACCCACUCCAUACCUGGGAGCACGGGUUAUCUUUUCCUCAGCUCCGGCUGCACACCCUGAGACCCUCAGACACCACACACCACCCUCAAAUUCCUAACACUGAGGCCUGUAGAGUCCAGGGGUCACCAUCCCUCUCUCUCUCUCCUUCCCUCCCUCCCUCCCUCCCUGUCACCGUUCCUCACACACAGGGCAAGCAUGAGAUCUGUCUGCUGUGCUCUUGUGGCCAGUCAUGGUGUUACAGGUAGCCCACCAGACAGGACCACUCAAAGUUUAUAGCCAACUGAGUCUUUAUUCCAGCCAGCUGGGACCAUGCCCAAGUGUUCAGAGACCUAGGUGUUGUCCUGAGUGUCCAGAACACAGGAUUUUGAAGGGCAGAGACCUCGUCCAGAAACCUGACUGGGCAGCUGCAGGGGACCUUCCACAGCGUGAGCAGUUUGAAGCCAGCAGUUUUAACAGAAGCUAAGAUAAGCGGUCAGCUGGCCCUCAGGGGCUUCUCCACAAACAGGCAACUAAGGGGAAUGGUUAGCUGGAGGAGGGUCCACACCAACGAGCAGUGUUAACAAAGGUUGAGAUAAGUUAGCUAGUGCAUCCUGACCUUUGGUUCCUGGAAUAGAGUUGGGUAAUUUUCCAUGGGAUUCUCCAUCCAGAGGAAAACCUGGAAACAGCUUGGGCAUGAAUACAAGAUGGAGGAACCUCCGCACUGGCUUGCCCUGUCACGGGAAAGAGUAGAGACUCUGAUCCAGAGUGAGGUGUGUUUUCUGCUUUAGCGCCUGUCCCUAUUACAGGGGCUCCAGGCAACAAGGCCCCGCAGAGGAAGGCCGAUUGCUCAAAGCAGGGCUGGCUGACCAAACUGAGCCAAGACCUCCCUCACCCUUCAGUUCUCAGGAAAGGACCACACGGAAGCCGCAGCCUGGGACAUGGAGGGUGAGGACCUAAAUGCCACAGAGAGACAGAAAGAUGAGGCCUGAAUGGAGGCCCGGGCUCCCUUGUGGCCAAGUAAACAUGCCACUCCUCCACGUGGACCAGAGCAGGCAACCUCAGUCAGCAUUAGCUCUCAGACAUGGCAGGACCUCAGGGAAACAGGAGUACAGCCUCUCCCACAGCAGGGGAAGGACACCGGUGACCAUGAUGGCCAGCAGGCGGGGGUUGGCCAAAAUACAAGAUUUGCUUGCCUGGGGCCUGGUGGGGAGGAAGACCCCCAUAGGUGCCAGCCUCCCUCGCCAGAUCCUCCCAGAGCAUCAGCCCGGCUCUCCCUUGGCCAGAAUCCUGGAGCAGUUCCCUCAACAGCGUCCAGGGGGCGCCCAUAUGCAGCAGCCCAGCCACUAUCCAGCCUGCCCGCUGUCUGUCUAUCCCCAACAGGAGAGGACCCGCUAAGAAACGGAUGCCUCUGCACUCGUGGGCCCUCUAAGAAGGGCCUGUGGGCUUGGUGAGUUUACUUUGCUGAGUAUGAUAUGGGGAAGAAGGAAUGCUUGUGGCUGUGUGUAGAUGUAAAUAUAGACACCAAGGUGACCAGACAGCUAGGCACCCAAGAAGUCCUGUGUGCCUGGGGGCCAGGUUAGGGGAGGAAUAAGCACGGAACUUUUUUUUUUUUUUUAAGACAGGACUUCUUUGUGUAGCCUUGCCUGUCCUGGAACUAGUUCUGUAGACCAGGCUGGCCUCGAACUCAGUGAUCUGCCUGUGUCUGCCCCCCAGAGUGCAGGAUUAAAAGAGUGUGCCACCAUUUCCCAGCCGGAACUUUUUCCUUAACACUUUGCAUUCUCUGUGCAAUCAGAAAAAUGCUAAGCCGGGCGGUGGUGGCACACGCCUUUAACCCCAGUGCUCAGGAGGCAGAGGCAGGCAGAUCUCUGUGAGUUCGAGGCCAACCUGGUCUACAAAGAGAGUUCCACGACAGCCAGGACACAAAGAAACCCUGUUUCAGAGAGAGAGAGAGAGAGAGAGAGAGAGAGAGAGAGAGAGAGAGAGAGAGAGGAAAACAUGUUUAAUCUGUCUUGACUUUUCCAUAUUAUAGGCUUCUACAAUCUCUUCUCUACCUCUCCCUUCUCUCCGUACGUCUUUUUGUGUCUCUGUCUGUAUGUCUGUCUGUCUCUAUUUCUUGCUAUCUCUUUGUGUCUCUCUGUAUGUCUAUAGCUCUGUCUUUCUGUGUGUGUGUGUGUGUGUGUGUGUGUGUGUGUGUGUGUGUGUGCCAGUAUGCACGCUGUAUAUUGUACAGGCCCAGGUAGGACCCUGUGUCCCCUCUGGGUUCUGAUGGUCAGAGUCACACAGGAACAGGGGAACAGUGGAAAAAGCUGAGACUCUGGGGGAAUGACGCUUCCUAUGGAAGUUUUCAGGUGAAACUCACCUCUAGAAAUGCAAGAGCCCCGAUACUCACGGCAGCCACACAGAAAUAGGCUAUAACCAAGAGCCUGUCCUUCACCAUGCCCGUGUGCAACAGGAAGCAGCUCUGUCCCAAAGCCCCUAAAUCGGAUACAAAAGGGAGGUUCCUGGAUUCUCUGCAGACCCCAUACCACCUGGCUCCAGGAGGAGGUUCUGCCCACAUGACCUCAUUCAAGAACCACAAAUCGAGAUCCAAGAAGCAUGAGCUCAUCACUGUAUGAACCAUAGACAGAUGCAGGCUAGCCAGGCAAGCUGGGCUACUAACAACUCCAUGGUCCUUUGGACUCCAAUCUACGCUGAACUUGCCCACCAAUGUGCAAGAGAAGUGCAAGGACCCCCACACACACACACAACAGAGUCCCCCACCCCCACCCCCAGCAGCCACUAGGAUAAGAAGAAGGCAAAGAAAAGCCUAGACCAGGCCUGUCUAUCCAUGCCUGAGGCCAACUGGGAGAAGCCAGAAGGCAGUGCUGACUUCCACAUUCCCCCUACCCACCAUGCCUUUGUCUAGAGAUGGGUCUCUGCAUCGUCCCCUUGGGGCUUGUGACUUUCUUACUACCCACAGAGUAUGACAGAAAUGAAGGACCAUGACUCCAAAAGUCAGUCAGAAAAGGCAGUGGAACAGGCACUCACCCUUGAAGUGCUCAGACACCAAGCAAGUUAUUUGACUAGGUCGAGGCCAUCAUGCUGAGAGGGACCACCUACGAUAAAGAGGACACAUGGAUAAAAGUCAGGGCAUGGCAUCGCCUGAACACCACUUGAAAAGGCAGAUCCAGGCAGAGAGGGGUCGCUGAUUCUUUUGGAGAAAAACUCUCGCGGAUUGCAAAACGUCGGCACAGAACUCCUGUCUCACUGAACAAUGCUGUUCCUUUCGGUUUCCUGUUCUACGUGUCAUCAGCACUGUGUGGUCCAAACAACUGGAGCUCAGGGAGGCCGGAGGCUCGUUCGUGGUGGUCCAUGGAAUGGGCUCCAAAGGGCAUCUGCCUGGCCCUGCUGCGAGCACAGGCACAGGGUCGUCGGAGUGCGAGGUCUGCUGUGAGUCCCCCAUGUUGCUGUGUGACCCAGCAGGCAUCUUGGGUUGCUGGUGAAGAGACUCUGCCCACUUGGUGAGGGGGAAUUCCAGGUGGGACCACCCUGUCUGCAUUCUCCCUGACUCCAGUCUGUGCUGCCUGGACUGGAGGAAAGAGUCUGUGUAUACUUCACCCUACACCGAUCCAGGGGCUGGCAGUGAAUAAAAAGCUCGCGUUGACAACAUCCAUCCAUCCAUCCAUCCAUCCAUCCAUCCAUCCAUCCAUCCAUCCAUUUCUGGAAGAGCUGGGGGAAAGAGAGUCAUGGCCAAUUGUAUUUCCCAAAAUGACUGAAAGAGAUCUUCCAUCCCCACAUUUUUAACGCUUCUCUUACAAGACAUUCCAACCCAUUUCCCACCCAGUCAGCACUGGGUCUCUGCCUCAUCUACAGCCUGGUGGGUCUGUGACUUCUGAAGUGAAGCCAUACGGCAAGCCAGGCAGAAAGCUGACUCCAUUUCUGCCUGGCUGCUGGGCAUACUUGUGCUUGUACCCAGUCACCGCGCUGGGAGGACACCCAAGACACACGUGGAGAUGGCGCGUGCCGGUCGGUGUUCCAGCUGCUGCACCAGAUGUGCUUAACCUCCACCACCGCUGGCUGCAGUCCCUAAAGCAGAGUGCCUUGCCUGAACCCAGUGCACCCCAAGGCCCCUGAGAGAACGCUAAGAACAAGCGCUGUUCGAAGCCACGGUGUUUCAGAACGACCCGUUGCUCAGUAGCAGACACCCAGAACAGAAGUGCCCUCUAUGCACCAGGGUUAAAAAGAGUUGGGAUCCAAACGAACAAGGAAACCAAAGCCCCAGUUUCAGAAAUGGUGGAAGGAACUUUGGGGAAGCUUCCAGGGUAUCCAGGAUAGGCACAGGGGAUGGAAUAAAAGCCCCAGGUUUGGGCUGCUAAAUGAGGGUCCAAAAGCCCACCCAGUGCCCCCCACCCCAGCAACACAUGCCUGCCUAUUACACCAUGGCUGGGAGUGAAUAGAUAAGCCACCCACAGAAGCAUCAGAGACCUCAGUCCCGGGUGAGCACUUCAUGAAGUCAUCUCAGAUAGCUAAGGAAAGCUCGCCACAAAAUAGAGAUCAAGUUCAAACAAUAAAAUACCAAGAAAGCGGUGUUAUAUGAGAAAGAAAUUGGCUUUCAGAACAAGUAUAAUUAAUACAUUUAUAGAGAUCAAGACCAGGCAAAAAAGAACCAAAGCUCUUUAAGACUAGACAGGUCUUUGUCACUCUUCUGUUGCUGUGACAAUACACCAAGGCAACUUACAAAAUAAAGUGUUUAAUUGGGCUAUGGUUUCAGAGGGUUCAAGUCCAUGAAGGCAGAGCGAAGGCCUAGCAGCAGAACAGCAGAGCGCUCACAUCUGCAGAGUACACUGGGAAUGGCGUAAAUCUUCUGAAACCUCAAAGCCCACCCCCAGUGACACACUUUCUCCCACAAGGUUACACCUCCUAAUCUUUCCCAGACAGUUUCACCAACUGGGGACCAAGUAUUUAAACACAUUUGCCUAUGGGAGCCAUUCUCCUCCAAACCACCAUAACUUAUGAUUGUCAAAACCAUCCAAUAGGAAGGAGAUCAAGAGUUAGAAAAGCAUGAGAAGAAACAGUAGAAGAAAAGACUAUCAAAAACUUAUUACCCAAAGGCUUAAGAAGACAUAGUAAACUUGGGAAGAUCAUUAGAAAAAUAUUUAGCAUAGAAAAUAAAAGCACUAAAAAAAAAAGUCCCCAGGCUUAGGUGAACUAGCUUAAAGCAUAUGACAGUCCAGAAAGUGAACCAAUCUGUGGUGUAAGAACAGCAGAGAUUGAUACCCAAACCAGAGGACCCCACACUGAUGAUCAGAUGCAAAUACUCUAACGUGCAGUCUCUCUGCCUACUAAGCAAAGUUGUUGUAAAUUCAGAUGUGCUGAUACACCCCUAUAAUCUCACCAAUUGGGAGGCUGAGUGAGUAUUGCAAAUUCUAUGCUAGCCUGGGCUACAGAGCAAUACCAGGUCUCAAGGAAGG